UUAAAUUGAAGAGUUUGAUCAUGGCUCAGAUUGAACGCUGGCGGCAGGCCUAACACAUGCAAGUCGAACGGUAACAGGAAACAGCUUGCUGUUUCGCUGACGAGUGGCGGACGGGUGAGUAAUGUCUGGGAAACUGCCUGAUGGAGGGGGAUAACUACUGGAAACGGUAGCUAAUACCGCAUAACGUCGCAAGACCAAAGAGGGGGACCUUCGGGCCUCUUGCCAUCGGAUGUGCCCAGAUGGGAUUAGCUUGUUGGUGGGGUAACGGCUCACCAAGGCGACGAUCCCUAGC
This 292-nucleotide ribosomal RNA is filed under the name Escherichia coli. RNAcentral describes it as "partial 16S ribosomal RNA". It matches the Rfam family "Bacterial small subunit ribosomal RNA", at positions 1 to 287 of the family's 1533-position model. The record is from RNAcentral. Lineage: Bacteria; Pseudomonadati; Pseudomonadota; Gammaproteobacteria; Enterobacterales; Enterobacteriaceae.